AUUCCAGUACCCGUUUACAUUGUUCCAGUAGCAAUUUCAGCGUUGGAUUUGAUCACUGGAUUGGAAUAAUUUAA
Aricia agestis (brown argus) is the source of this 74-nucleotide long non-coding RNA. RefSeq lists it as uncharacterized. The transcript is spliced from 3 exons. NCBI's taxonomy places the organism in Eukaryota, Metazoa, Arthropoda, Insecta, Lepidoptera, Lycaenidae. The record is from RefSeq and is a predicted model, not a curated record.